This 437-nucleotide ribosomal RNA is filed under the name uncultured Clostridium sp. RNAcentral describes it as "partial 16S ribosomal RNA". It matches the Rfam family "Bacterial small subunit ribosomal RNA", at positions 341 to 792 of the family's 1533-position model. The record is from RNAcentral. Lineage: Bacteria; Bacillati; Bacillota; Clostridia; Eubacteriales; Clostridiaceae.
ACGGGAGGCAGCAGUGGGGAAUAUUGCACAAUGGGCGCAAGCCUGAUGCAGCAACGCCGCGUGAGGGAAGACGGUCUUCGGAUUGUAAACCUUUUUCUUUGGGGAAGAAGAAAGUGACGGUAGCCAAUGAGGAAGCCACGGCUAACUACGUGCCAGCAGCCGCGGUAAUACGUAGGUGGCAAGCGUUAUCCGGAUUUACUGGGUGUAAAGGGAGCGCAGGCGGGACAGCAAGUUGGAUGUGAAAUACCGAGGCUUAACCAAGGAGCUGCAUCCAAAACUGUUGUUCUUGAGUGAAGUAGAGGUAGGCGGAAUUCCGAGUGUAGCGGUGAAAUGCGUAGAUAUUGGGAGGAACACCAGUGGCGAAGGCGACUUACUGGACAUUAACUGACGCUGAGGCGCGAAAGCGUGGGGAGCAAACAGGAUUAGAUACCCUGGUA